Piliocolobus tephrosceles (Ugandan red Colobus) is the source of this 103-nucleotide small nuclear RNA. Lineage: Eukaryota; Metazoa; Chordata; Mammalia; Primates; Cercopithecidae. The record is from RefSeq and is a predicted model, not a curated record.
AAAUUCCUCUAGAGUUUGCUUAGGCAGCAGAACAAUACAGGGAAGAUUAGCAUGGCCCCUGGGCAAAGAUGACAGGCAAAUUCAUGAAGUGUUCCAUAUUUUU